This is a long non-coding RNA of Asparagus officinalis (garden asparagus), 940 nucleotides long. RefSeq lists it as uncharacterized. The transcript is spliced from 3 exons. The record is from RefSeq and is a predicted model, not a curated record. NCBI's taxonomy places the organism in Eukaryota, Viridiplantae, Streptophyta, Magnoliopsida, Asparagales, Asparagaceae.
UUGAUUGAUCCAAGUUUUACUUUUUUGCCAUCAAGUGAAGAAUGGGUAAAGGUUGAAAAAAUUGCAAAGUUUUUAAAACCUUUUUAUGAAGUGUCCACUCUUUUUUCUGGAAGUAAAUAUCCAACUGCCAGCUUAUAUUUUGGUGGACUGUUUAAGAUUCAAAAAUGCAUAAUGGAGGAGAUGAAAAGUGAUGAUCAAGAUAUAAAAUCCAUGGCAAAUGAUAUGAAAAUAAAAUUUGAUAAAUAUUGGGAAUGUUACAGUGUUAUUUUGUCAUUUGCAGUCAUUUUAGACCCCCGAUACAAUGUGAAGUAUGUAGAGUUUUGUUUUGAGAAAUUUGGAGUUAGUUCUGAUUAUGUGUUGACUAUCUUAGAGAAAUUGAGAAGUCUUUACAAAGAAUACGAGCGAGCAUCUCUAGGUACAUUUGUUGCAGAGAGCAGUGGUGAAGAGAAUAUUGGAGAUGUUCCUAAUGAUGAGAUGGUUGAGUUUGAACAGUUUGAGAGUCAACUAUAUUCGGUCAGUGGGUCCAAGUCGGUCAGUGGGUCCAAGUCGCAGUUAGAAGAGUAUCUAGAUGAAAAAUUAGUCAGUUGGAAGAAAAAUGAUCAUUUGAAUGUUCUCGAGUAUUGGAAAAACGAAUGCGAGAAGCGCCCUCAGUUGUCGAUGAUGGCUCGAGAUAUAUUGAGUAUUCCUAUUACUUCGGUGGCCUCUGAAUUGACUUUUAGCCAUUGCCAGUCGUGUGCUUGACAAGUAUAAAAAUCGUCUUCUUCCGGAAAAUGCUAAAGCUCAAAUUUGCACUGGUUCUUGGUUAGACGGGAUUCCUUCUCUGGCAGACAUUCAAAAAGGAAAUUUAUUAGUACAUGAUUUCAAUAAUCUAGAGGUUUCUGAAUCGAAAGGCGAAAGUGAUUAAGGUAGCUCGGAGUUCCGGAGAGCCACAGGAUGACGG